AUGGUAUCUUUAUUUUGGUUUUCACAUAAUACAUUGAUUUUGUUGUUGUUUUCUUUUAUAUAGACUUGUUAUUUUGGACUUGAAAAAUAUUGCACUAAUGCUAUGGAGAGUUCCUGUAUAACUUUGCAUUUGCUUUUCUAGAGCUGCCAUAACAAAGUAUCACAAACUGAGGGGCUUAGAACAAACGAAAUGGAUUGUCUUACACUGCUGGAGCAACUAAAAUCAAGGUGUUGGCAGAAUCAUUCUUCCUCUGAAACCUGCAGGGAGCAAUUGUUGCUUACAAUCCUCCGGGUGUCUGCUGUUUGCUGGCAUUCUUUGGCUUUCCUCAGUGCACAGAUCCUUCACUCAAUCCUUGGUCUUCCCAUCGCUGACUUCCCCCUAUGCACGCCUGUCUCUGUAUCAAAUUUUCCCUACAAAAGUAGGAAACAUGAAUUCUACUUUUGUGCAGCAUGUCCCCAGGAGGCUUAUCUGCUACAUCUGCAAGGACUAUUUCACAGACCCCUUCACCCUUAGCUGUGGGCACAACUUUUGUACUCCAUGUCUCUGCCUCCUGUGAGAGGAUGCUCAGCAUCCUACUCACUGCUCUGUGUGCAGGACAGUAUCUCCAUGAAUAGACUUCAAAGGCAUUGUUUUCGCUGUGAAACAGGUUCGUGUUUCCAAAGAAUCCAUUGCCUGCCAGUUACCGAACUCUGCCAAGCAAGUCUGUAGGAUACACCUAGUAUUAAAGGACCUCUUCUGUCCAACUGAAAAGAGCCCGCUGUGUUUGCACUGCUCCAGUUCCCAAAGGCAUGCCACUCACAGACACUCACCAGUGUCACAAGCCGCUGAGCAGUGCAGGGAGAAACUUCUGAUGCAAAUGAAAUCUAUUUGGAAAAGCAGACAGGAAAAUCAGAAAAAUCUAAACAAAGAGUACAACUUGUUUAGAGCAUGGAAGUUAAGAGUAGGCCCUGUUUCCCUUGGAACCAG
Mustela lutreola (European mink) is the source of this 966-nucleotide long non-coding RNA. RefSeq lists it as uncharacterized. The transcript has 3 exons. The record is from RefSeq and is a predicted model, not a curated record. NCBI's taxonomy places the organism in Eukaryota, Metazoa, Chordata, Mammalia, Carnivora, Mustelidae.